UGAUUGCACUGUGGUCUGAGAGACAGUUAGUUAUAAUUUUGGAAAUCUCUGUUAACCUGGUUCAGUUCCUGGAUAUCCCUGGAUAAUCCCUGGAUAUCCCUGAGUUCAAUUCCUGGAUAUCCUUCUCUGUAUUUCCUGUAUUUGAAUGUUGGCCUGCCGUGCUAGGUUGGGGAAGUUCUCCUGGAUAAUAUCCUGCAGAGUGUUUUCCAACUUGGUUCCAUUCUCCCCAUCACUUUCAGGUACACCAAUCAGACAUAGAUUUGGUCUUUUCACAUAGUCCCAUAUUUCUUGGAGGCUUUGUUC
RNAcentral lists this long non-coding RNA (303 nucleotides) under Pan troglodytes (chimpanzee). RNAcentral describes it as "long non-coding RNA NONPTRT013081". The record is from RNAcentral. Lineage: Eukaryota; Metazoa; Chordata; Mammalia; Primates; Hominidae.